AAGCAGCAGAGCCAGAACUCAGCCUCAGGAAUCAGAUCACCGCCAGGACUCUUGGCCACUCCAUGGACUCACUGUUGCUUUAACCAAGGAGGUCUGCAUGGCGGCUGGUGAAGUAGCCUCAGCAGAAAGACUGGCUCCACCGUGGGCUUGGGCACCAGAGCCUCGUGAUGCAGGAUGGCGUGUGGGCUUAGAGCUGGACCACAGGUUAAAUCUAAGUUCUCCUAGCCUGCUGCAGGACUUCAGAAUAAGUUUUUUUUUUUUUUUUAACCUCUUUUGAGCCUUGGCUUCCUCUUACAUAAAUUGAGAUGUUGGUGAUAAAAGUAGCUAGACUUGGGGUGUUUGUCUGUAUGUCUUUGUGUCUGUCUGUCUGUCUGUCUGUCUGUCUGUCUGUCAGUCUCUCACCCUUUAAAUAUUAACAGGCACUGAUGGGUGAGGAUGAUGUGGGGGAGUACUGAUCAUCAUUAAUGAGUGAUUUAACAUCUGCAAUGCACAAGCAUUUCGCUGAGCACCUCACACGCAUCUCAGUCUUCGUGACAUCAGCGUCAUGCGGGGACUGCUAUCUCCCCCUUUGAAAGAUGAGAAAACUGAGGCUCAAACCUCCCAAGUCAACAGAAGGCCAUGGAGCAAGAUCCGGAGCUGGGAUCUCAGCGCUGGUGCAUGGUUGUGCUGACUUUGAGGAGAACUUUGAAGUCUGGCAGUGAAAAAGGAAGGAUUUCCAGCCAGUGGCUUUGUGGUAGCAGUCCUUGUGGAGGACAGCUUGGGUACCCCAGAGGAAACACCUCCUUUGCCCUACGUAUAUUUCCAUAUACAAGAAACAAAACAACAACCCAAGCCUGAGGUUAUGUGCUUCCUAAAUGUUGGCAGUGACAGCUGCACAAUGAUGUCAUGGAGAGAUCCUAGCAGCAUUCUUUCUGGGACUCUAAGGUCUGCAGGCCAAGCUCCUGAAUCCCCGUGCUCCAGCUUUCAUCACAGCCACACUGGUUGCUGAAGAUCCUUAAUGAUCCCUGAGAUUUUUUUUUUUUUUAUUUCCAAGACUUAGAAAAUAGUACAACUCCUACAGAAGGCCUAACACUCACAAUUAAUAUUGGAGGACUAAGAAGACUCUAGAAUUCUGUGCCUUCAUCAUUGAGGACUGCAAAAGCAGACAGUGGCGAUUUCACUAACAUUUAUCUGUUCCCUCUGACUGGGUGUGGUGCUAGUGAGCAGGGAAAACAGAGGUCAAGGGGCAGUGCCCUGGAGCUCAGGAGGAGAGGCCCGGGUGGGGGCAUUAUCCCCGGCUGGUGUGCAGGGCUGAGUGUUCCCACCCACCACUGCAGGACCGUGUAUCUGUACAGCUUUCUCAGAGAGUAAAUGUUAAUUAACUCAUGCACCCCCUUUAAAGUUAUUUUAUAUAUAUGGGUGUUUUCCCUGCAUACAUAUCUGUGCACUGUAUGUGUGCCCCAUGUCCGUAGAGGCCAAACGAGGAUGUCAGAUCCCCUGGAACUGGAGUAACAGAUGGUUGUGAGCUGUCAUGUGGGUGCUGGGAAACCCAGGUCCUUUGGAAGAGCAGUCAGUGCUCUUAGCCACUGAGCCAUCUGUCCAGCCCCAGCAAAUACACCCCUUAAUCCAGUGAUUCCAAAGGUGACCUUCAAAAAGUGCUUCUCCUGAACCAACAAGAGGGCUUUGUGGGAAAAGGUGCUUGCGGCCAAGCUUGAAGACUUGAAUUUGAACUCUGAGACUCACACAUUAGAAAGAGAAGACUUACUCUUGAUCUACACACAGGUACACACAGUAAAUAAGUACAUAGGUGAAUAAAUGCCAUGAAAACU
Molecule: long non-coding RNA, 1808 nt
Filed under: Mus musculus (house mouse)
Lineage: Eukaryota; Metazoa; Chordata; Mammalia; Rodentia; Muridae
Description: brown adipose tissue enriched long noncoding RNA 10
Source: RNAcentral